AUGCUCAGACCCAAAUCACACGGUGGCAUCGGGUUUCGGGACAUGAAGCUUUUUAAACAAGCGUUGCUCGCCAAGCAGGCCUGGAGGCUUAUUGAAAACCCUCACAGCCUAUGUGCGCAAGUGCUCAAGGGGAAGUACUACCCUAAUGGGCUCCUGGUCGAUAUCGUCUUUACUGGCAAUGCAUCCUCGACAUGGCAAGCUAUUGAGUAUGGGCUAGAGCUGCUAAAAGGGGGAUCAUAUGGCGUAUUGGUAAUGGCUCGCAUGUCCGCAUUUGCGUGA
This 279-nucleotide ribosomal RNA is filed under the name Triticum aestivum (bread wheat). RNAcentral's name for it is "partial small subunit ribosomal RNA". The record is from RNAcentral. Lineage: Eukaryota; Viridiplantae; Streptophyta; Magnoliopsida; Poales; Poaceae.